Molecule: long non-coding RNA, 125 nt
Organism: Melanotaenia boesemani (Boeseman's rainbowfish)
Lineage: Eukaryota; Metazoa; Chordata; Actinopteri; Atheriniformes; Melanotaeniidae
Exons: 2
Source: RefSeq, a predicted model, not a curated record
CAGGAGGAUGCAGGAGCAGUCCCGAAAUGUGAAAAGAUAAAAUAAGCAAUGGCUCACUGACAAACAUAACAGGCAUAUUAAUUACACAUAAAAUCACUGAUUUAUUAUGUGAAUCAUGACAGAAA